UGGAGCCCUGUAGCUUAUGCUGAAUAUGUAAAGAUAGUCCAUAUCAACCUUUCUUUGUUUUGUUAAGUUUGAUCAUAAGAUCACAGUAUAGCCAUGUCGAUCUCAAAUUUCUGGCAUAAAGAUGCACCAUUACAAAUGCAGCCUCAGGGAACAUUAGUACCCAUAUAUCCAAAAUUGUCAGGUCUUAUUAUUUCUUAAGAGUUCCUGGCCUGAUGAGGUCAGUGUUUUGUCCCUUUUGAAUGUUGUUUCAUGCUUGACACCUUUCCCAUUUUCUGGGGGGGAGGGAAAGAAGGGGUAAAAAAAAAUAAAGGACUUUAUUGUGAUGGGCUGACCAGAGCCCAUCUGCAGUUGGGUGGCAUCUGCUCCCCACAUGUCACUUCCCUCAUUAACAAGCAAUUGAAUUAAUUAAAUGCUACUCAGAACACGCAUAACAAGCUACCGGCAGUGUCCAAAUUAGCACUGAUAAUCAAGGAUGAUUUCCUUUAUUAUCCUGCUAAGUGGUGUGCAGGCUCUGAUCUCCCUGUCUGCCCUCAUCUAUUUACAUACCCCCAGCUUCUGCCUUUAGAAGCUGAGGUUAUCUUACCUAGUUAAUUUGCCACGAUCACUAAGCAUGGCGGAUUGAUAUUCCUGCCUCUGCUGAAGCAAACCCCCUUCUCUCCCCCUUUCCUCCCUUCCCAAGCCUGGUCCUUUGUAUCUCAAGCUCACUGAUAAAUUAAAAGCCACCCCUGUGGUCUCUCAAGUGAGUAAUAGAGGCAGAAAUUUCAUUUUGCAACUGGCUGAUUUAAUGAUCCAAAGGGUAAUUAAUGGCCUGAUUAUCUUAAUGUUAAAUAUGUCCGGCAGCAAUUACUGUGACCUCCCGCUUGUCAAGGUCCGGGCUAUGCUCUUCUUUCAAUUAAGUUCUCUGGGGCUUAAUGGUAUGAAUAAACUCCUCUGAUUCUAUCAUUCUGGACUCCGAGAUUUAGGCGAGCUAGGGGCUCGUUUGGAGUUUUAAUCAGCCCAUCUUCUACUUGAGCGAUCAGAGUUAACAAUUAUAACAAGGACAGUUUAACUUUCUUCCCCCCCAACCCCUCUUCUACUUCUUUAUAUUCUAUUUUAUUUUGUUUAAGUGCUCCAAGGGAAUUCUGUUGGCUGAAGCAGCAGCAUUGCUAGGCUCGUCUCUCCCUAUCUAAAUUAUCAUGUGAAUGCUGCUGUUUUUCCAUUUGACAGGCUUAAUUAAUUGGCAGGAGAGCCCAAAAAUGACAGUGCUACUAAUUGCAACUCAAAGUAAAUUUCUGUCAUUGUGGCACGCUUGUCAACGGGCAUGCCCCAGUCCACACUGCGGACAGAGUUUGUUGACGUUUUCCAUUUCAGUUUUCACAUCUCGUUGGGGAGCGUGAUCAUAUGUGAUAGCACUAACGGACCAAGAUGUGCCUCUGGGUUUUCCAGGCACACAGUUUGUGUGCAAGAAUGACAUUUACUGCCAAUAAAGUUUGAACAACUGUGCUUCUGUGGACCAAACAGCUGCUAGGGGACUUAAGAUUUUACUUAAGAUAUUUUAUCGAGUUCUGUUAGUCAGGAGACUUUGAAUCAAACUGUGAGUUGUAACUCAUUCAUUGUCUCAUGACUGAACUACCCUUAUUAACACAUCUCUAAGAAUGCUCGACUUUACUUCUGUUGUGCAUUAGGAUGCAAAUAUUUCAUUGUAAGCAUUCAGUCAAUUAUGCAAUUGCAUAAAUUAAAAGUGCAUGAAUACUGAUAUACAUGUAAAUAAAAGAUAUACAUGUAAAUAAAAAAUACUGAUCUAUUAUGGCCAGUAAACCAAAGCUUUUCAGCCCACAUCACUCUGUAGGAAUGAACCAGUUCUGACAUGCUAGAAUAUAGUACUUUCAGGUGAAGCUAUUGUCACUUCUCAAUAAUUCUCAGAAAAUGCACCUACUGAGAAUAAUUCAGCAAAAAAAUAUUGUUAUUGCUCAACUUCCACCUUCAGGAGGCCUACAACUCACAAGAGAAAGCUAAGUGCUACAAAAUGUUUUAUUCUUCUCAGCAUCGGAGUCAGUAAAACAUUGGUGCCUAGAUACCACUGA
Molecule: long non-coding RNA, 2063 nt
Organism: Dermochelys coriacea (leatherback sea turtle)
Lineage: Eukaryota; Metazoa; Chordata; Testudines; Dermochelyidae
Exons: 3
Source: RefSeq, a predicted model, not a curated record